RNAcentral lists this transfer RNA (75 nucleotides) under Candidatus Roizmanbacteria bacterium. RNAcentral describes it as "tRNA-Cys". It matches the Rfam family "tRNA". Rfam says of the family: Transfer RNA (tRNA) molecules are approximately 80 nucleotides in length. Their secondary structure includes four short double-helical elements and three loops (D, anti-codon, and T loops). Further hydrogen bonds mediate the characteristic L-shaped molecular structure. tRNAs have two regions of fundamental functional importance: the anti-codon, which is responsible for specific mRNA codon recognition, and the 3' end, to which the tRNAs corresponding amino acid is attached (by aminoacyl-tRNA synthetases). tRNAs cope with the degeneracy of the genetic code in two manners: having more than one tRNA (with a specific anti-codon) for a particular amino acid; and 'wobble' base-pairing, i.e. permitting non-standard base-pairing at the 3rd anti-codon position. Lineage: Bacteria; Candidatus Roizmaniibacteriota. The record is from RNAcentral.
GGCAAGAUGGUCGAGUGGUCAAAGGCAACAGUCUGCAAAACUGUAAAAUCGAGGGUUCGAAUCCCUCUCUUGCUU